Molecule: unclassified non-coding RNA, 253 nt
Filed under: uncultured Bacillaceae bacterium
Lineage: Bacteria; Bacillati; Bacillota; Bacilli; Caryophanales; Bacillaceae
Description: contains 16S-23S intergenic spacer region
Rfam family: Bacterial small subunit ribosomal RNA
Source: RNAcentral
CACGUAGGGAGCAAGCGUUGUCCGGAUUUAUUGGGCGUAAAGCGCGCGCAGGCGGUCUUUUAAGUCUGAUGUGAAAGCCCACGGCUCAACCGUGGAGGGUCAUUGGAAACUGGAAGACUUGAGUACAGAAGAGGAGAGUGGAAUUCCACGUGUAGCGGUGAAAUGCGUAGAGAUGUGGAGGAAGACCAGUGGCGAAGGCGACUUUCUGGUCUGUAACUGACGCUGAGGCGCGAAAGCGUGGGGAGCAAACAGG